GACGAACGCUGGCGGCGUGCUUAACACAUGCAAGUCGAACGAAGAGCGAUGGAAGCUUGCUUCUAUCAAUCUUAGUGGCGAACGGGUGAGUAACGCGUAAUCAACCUGCCCUUCAGAGGGGGACAACAGUUGGAAACGACUGCUAAUACCGCAUACGAUCUAAUCUCGGCAUCGAGGAUAGAUGAAAGGUGGCCUCUACAUGUAAGCUAUCACUGAAGGAGGGGAUUGCGUCUGAUUAGCUAGUUGGAGGGGUAACGGCCCACCAAGGCGAUGAUCAGUAGCCGGUCUGAGAGGAUGAACGGCCACAUUGGGACUGAGACACGGCCCAGACUCCUACGGGAGGCAGCAGUGGGGAAUCUUCCGCAAUGGACGAAAGUCUGACGGAGCAACGCCGCGUGAGUGAUGACGGCCUUCGGGUUGUAAAGCUCUGUUAAUCGGGGACGAAAAGGGCCUUCUGCGAAAUAGUG
RNAcentral lists this ribosomal RNA (467 nucleotides) under Veillonella parvula. Its description in RNAcentral is "bacterial SSU rRNA". It matches the Rfam family "Bacterial small subunit ribosomal RNA", at positions 28 to 465 of the family's 1533-position model. Lineage: Bacteria; Bacillati; Bacillota; Negativicutes; Veillonellales; Veillonellaceae. The record is from RNAcentral.